Molecule: transfer RNA, 66 nt
Filed under: Lepilemur mustelinus (weasel lemur)
Lineage: Eukaryota; Metazoa; Chordata; Mammalia; Primates; Lepilemuridae
Also listed under: 3 other names
Description: tRNA-Cys
Source: RNAcentral
AGUCCUGAGGUGGCUACCACGUUGAAUUGCAAGUUCAAAGAAGCAGCUUCAAUACUGCCGGGGCUU